Molecule: ribosomal RNA, 481 nt
Filed under: Lophiotoma polytropa
Lineage: Eukaryota; Metazoa; Mollusca; Gastropoda; Neogastropoda; Turridae
Description: partial 16S ribosomal RNA
Rfam family: Bacterial large subunit ribosomal RNA
Source: RNAcentral
UAAGGAGUCGGACCUGCCCAGUGAAGUUUUUUAACGGCCGCGGUACUCUGACCGUGCAAAGGUAGCAUAAUCAUUUGCCUUAUAAUUGAAGGCUAGUAUGAAUGGUUUGACAAGAAUAUAGCUGUCUCUUUAUAAUUCUAUAGAAUUUUAUUUUAAAGUGAAGAAGCUUUAAUACAAUUAAUAGACAAGAAGACCCUAUCGAGCUUUAAAAAAUUUUUUAGAAGCCAAUUAAUAAUUUUAAAAAAAAUUAACUAUUGAAAUAUUUUGGUUGGGGCGACUAAGGAACAAACAAAGCUUCCUUUUAUACAAUUUACAUUCAGGUGUUGAUCCAAAAUUUUUGAUUAAAGGAAUUAGUUACCGUAGGGAUAACAGCAUUAUCUUUUUUGAGAGCUCUUAUCGAAAAAAAGGUUUGUGACCUCGAUGUUGGACCAGAAUAUCCUAAAGAUGCAGAAGUCUUUAAGGGUUGGUCUGUUCGACCAUU